AGAGAAUUUUAAUAUUUAUUUUUUAGUUUUCAGCGGACUUUGUUUGUAUGUGGUGCUGAGGAUCGAACCCGGACUGCACGCAUGCCAGGCGAGUGCGCUACUGCUUGAGCCACAUCCCCAGCCCCAGGGUCCGUCCUAUUACCAGGCAAUUUCCUUUCUCAUUUCUGGUCAUAGGUAAGGACAGAAACACAACCAACAGAUCACAUUUAGUAUCAACUCUGUUUCUGCCACCUCUCUGAAUCUGAAAAUCUAUCAGUUCCGAGUCAGUAAACUCAGAACUGAUAGAUUACCCUCCACACCAAAGGGGACUAACAGUUGUAGCUCUCCAAACUAGAAGCAAAGUAUACCUUUUAAACAUAUGUAGGAGUCUCUAGGGGAUGAUACAGACAGAGGAUGUCUUUAAGUAAUCAAUGUUUAAAGAAAGAGUACUCUUGAAUCAACUUGUCUACCUUUCAAGGGGGCUAAGAAAGUUGGUGUUGGCAGGGGGGAGGUAGAGAGAAAAGUUGGGGCUUUUAAAUUCUAAUCAACCAUUCCAAUUCAUCAUAGGGGGCUGGGGCUCUAGCUCAGUGGCAGAGCGCUUGCCUUGCAUUUGAGAGGUGCUGAGAAUCAAACCCAGCCGGAUUCCACCCUCAGCACCACAUAAAAAUAAACAAAAUAAAGGCAUGCUGUCCAUCUACAUCUACAAAAAACAAACAAACAAACAAAAAAACUCAUCAUACUGACUCUGAGGGGAAUGUAAGGGAGCUAUGAAAUUCAAAGAGGAGUUAGCAUGGGCAGAACACACAAAAACCUCUUUCCAAAACACAAGUAUUACCUGAGUUAUACUUUGCUUGUUCAAAUUAAUCUUUCUCUUUUCCAAGUUUGAUCCUAGUGACUUCAUAGACAUCAUACUCUUAUGUGUGGGAAAACACUACAGUGAGCAGCUUUCGUGUCAAAUUAGUGUUAAAAAAUCUCAGCAAUUCUAUUUAUUAAAGACACCAAGAUAGAAAAUCAUACAGGAGACAACGCAGAGGAAUAAAAGCUCUUAAGUCCAGUUUUCUGGGUUUGUUUUCCGAUUCUACUUAAUGGCUAUGAAACUUUGAGCAAAUUGCUAAAUAUAUGUGUACAUUUGUUUCCUCAUCUGUAUAAUGGGAUAACAGCUUUAUAAGCAACUACUGCAUAAGGUUGUAAAGAUUAAAUGA
This 1181-nucleotide long non-coding RNA is filed under the name Marmota monax (woodchuck). The record is from RNAcentral. Lineage: Eukaryota; Metazoa; Chordata; Mammalia; Rodentia; Sciuridae.